AGUAACGGCGAGUGAAGCGGCAACAGCUCAAAUUUGAAAUCUGGCGCAAGCCCGAGUUGUAAUUUGUAGAGGAUGCUUCUAGGUUGCGGCCGGUCUAAGUUCCUUGGAACAGGACGUCACAGAGGGUGAGAAUCCCGUAUGUGACCGGCUUGCACCUUCUACGUAGCUCCUUCGACGAGUCGAGUUGUUUGGGAAUGCAGCUCUAAAUGGGAGGUAAAUGUCUUCUAAAGCUAAAUACCGGCCAGAGACCGAUAGCGCACAAGUAGAGUGAUCGAAAGAUGAAAAGCACUUUGGAAAGAGAGUUAAAAAGCACGUGAAAUUGUUGAAAGGGAAGCGCAUGCAACCAGACUUGUCGGCGGUGUUCCGCCGGUCUUCUGACCGGUCUACUCGCCGCCGACAGGCCAGCAUCGUCUGGGGGCGCCGGAGAAAGGUGCCGGGAAUGUAGCUCCUCGGAGUGUUAUAGCCCGGCACACAAUACGGUGACUCCCGGGCGAGGUCCGCGCUUCGGCUAGGAUGCUGGCGUAAUGGUUGCCUGCGACCCGUCUUGAAACACGGACCAAGGAGUCGACCAUCUGUGCGAGUGUUCGGGUGUCAAACCCCUACGCGUAAUGAAAGUGAACGGAGGUGGGAACGCAAGUGCACCAUCGACCGAUCCUGAUGUCUUCGGAUGGAUUUGAGUAAGAGCAUAGCUGGUCGGACCCGAAAGAUGGUGAACUAUGCCUGAAUAGGGUGAAGCCAGAGGAAACUCUGGUGGAGGCUCGCAGCGGUUCUGACGUGCAAAUCGAUCGUCAAAUUUGGGUAUA
Molecule: ribosomal RNA, 803 nt
Filed under: Devriesia shelburniensis
Lineage: Eukaryota; Fungi; Ascomycota; Dothideomycetes; Mycosphaerellales; Teratosphaeriaceae
Description: eukaryotic LSU rRNA
Rfam family: Eukaryotic large subunit ribosomal RNA
Source: RNAcentral